AAACCAGCACCUCAAGUGGUCAGGAGGAUUAUUGGGCCUAAAGCAUCCGUAGCCUGUUCUAUAAGUUUCCGGUUAAAUCCACUAGCUCAACUAGUGGGCUGCCGAAAAUACUGUAGAACUAGGGAGUGGGAGAGGUAGACGGUAUUCGGUAGGAAGGGGUAAAAUCCUUUGAUCUAUUGAGGACCACCUGUGGCGAAGGCGGUCUACCAGAACACGUUCGACGGUGAGGGAUGAAAGCUGGGGGAGCAAACCGGAUUAGAUACCCGUGUAGUCC
This 274-nucleotide ribosomal RNA is filed under the name uncultured bacterium. Its description in RNAcentral is "partial 16S ribosomal RNA". It matches the Rfam family "Archaeal small subunit ribosomal RNA", at positions 473 to 747 of the family's 1478-position model. The record is from RNAcentral.